Molecule: long non-coding RNA, 1997 nt
Organism: Acanthopagrus latus (yellowfin seabream)
Lineage: Eukaryota; Metazoa; Chordata; Actinopteri; Spariformes; Sparidae
Exons: 5
Source: RefSeq, a predicted model, not a curated record
CCAGGACUCAGGUGCUCCAUCAGCCUCCUUUCAGCGGAUCGUUCAGCUGUUUACUAAAGACUGAUGAUCAGAGUCGCCUCUCUUACGUCUUUUCUGUUCUUUACUGGGAUGUGAAUUAAGCCAAACUGAAAUGACAUCAUGCCGAGGGGGAAGUCGGGCUGAAUACGUACCCACAAGGCCCUGCAGGAGAACCAGGGACCAACGGGAGGAGGGGUAUCUCCUGAGAAACUGUUGCGGGGCCCCUCACAACAUGUCAGCCGAACGGUCACACGAGUCCUGAUCCCUCGGCCCACCGUGCUGGCCUCGUCCCGGGCAGAGGGACCACAUGUUCGCCACAUUAACGUCUUCAACUCAGUCUGAUUUACACAUGAAGGGAUGAACUCUGUCCAGCGUGGAUCUGUUACAGGCUUGUGCUCAGCGACACGGGACCAUUUCCAUGGAAAUUGAAGGUGCCUCUUCUGAAAGCCUUGAAACACGUGUAAGACAAGGAACUGCAAAUCAGUGCAACGGACAGGAGACAGAACUUUCUGGGAGGAGGAGGAGGAGCGGAAAGAAGAGGACGGAAGGAGAGGAAUCCACGGACAAACAGAGGCCAAGUUUCUCAAUGCCAAACACACACACACAAAGGAAAUCUCUUGUGCUCGCUCUGUGCAGCAGAGACACAGGCAGUGAUACCAUCAUCACACAGCGUGCUUACAGAGUUACACAUUUACACCUCUCUGGCCCUCUGCCUGCUACCUUCCUCCCAUCCUCUAUGAUUCCCCUACACGUUUCUUGGGGACUAUACCUUACACUUAAUCUGUCAACACUGCGCUGCUCCCGGAGCAGGAACAGUACCAGCUGAGGAUUUUAUUACAGGGAUGAGGAGCAGGUUCGGUAGGUGUUUCCUCUGGGGUGACAUUUUGCUCCGAGGGGCAACAGCGGCUACAUUGUGCUGACAGCCUGACUUGUGUCCUUGUUGGGAGAUUCCUCAGCAUUCCUGAAAGCACUGUCGCCGUGACUGGGAGCUCUGUUUCGGCACCCCCGAAGCUUCGAAAACCCCAUGGGAGCGUCGCUUGCACGGCUUCCCAAAUUCCACAGGUUUGCAGGGAUCCUAAAUGAGAGAUGAAAGACCUCUUGGAGAUCAAGGUCAGGCAGCAGAGGACGAGGUGAGCGCUGCUGCCAACGUGCCCCGACAGUCCUCUCGCCUGCCAGCUGCCAUUUGUCUUCACGUCUCUCCUUUGGCUAUUGGCAUUGCUGAUAAUUAGAAAUGCCAGACACAAGACUUUUAUUGCUCGGUGUAGCUGUAGGCGACCAAUAAAAGUGCCAAAUACCUAAUAUGAUGAAAAGAAAAACACUUAUUAUGUGUGACUGAGUCAUAAAAUCAUCAGACACGUUGACUCACCAGACUGAAUGUUAAAUCUUUAGGCUCUAAUGGGGCUAAGAUAGAUUUGAUAUGAACUAUAUGACAGUAUAAUGUAUCAAAACAUGCGUUAGUAUCAUGCUUAAUAUAAAACCAUCAUUUUUCUUGCAGCCUUGAAUUUGCAACUUGACUGAAAAGUUCAGUCAAAUGUUCUCCAGUGUCAUAAAACUAACUCAGUGCGGGAACUUAAAAUGGGCCUUGUCAGCAAAAGUGUAUAAAAACUGACUGGUGCUGCUGAAACGGCAAUUUUUCUGCCUGCUGACUGACUAAAGUUAAAGUUGCAACAGAGGACAUUUCCCCUCCUGAAGUUUUCAAGUGGUAGUAUUGUGUGCAACGGUUUUCCUCAGAAUAACACAAAGCAAAACAUAAGUUUAUUCAAUCAUUUAGUGUUUAAUAGAAAUAGACCUUCCUUUCUUAAUCUUCCUUUCCCCUAGACACAAAUAUCUAGUAAUGGUAAGGUUUAUAGGGAACAUUCCAGAUUUGCAGAUUUAAAUAUAUUUUAUCAUAUUGGAUAAGGCUUCAUUGAUUUAAAGGGGAAUAUUGGGACUUGGCGGAGGUAUGCACUCUACUCAGUGCCAUUCUAUUUAAAAUAAAC